Long non-coding RNA from Alosa sapidissima (American shad), 961 nucleotides. RefSeq lists it as uncharacterized. NCBI's taxonomy places the organism in Eukaryota, Metazoa, Chordata, Actinopteri, Clupeiformes, Clupeidae. The record is from RefSeq and is a predicted model, not a curated record. The transcript has 4 exons.
AGCCUCUGACUGGUCCUGGCUUAGUCAUUUGCACAGACUUAUUCAUAUUGAGAUUCAGGAAGAUGAUCCAGUGAAAGAUGAGUAACGUCCACCGAAGAAAGAAGAGUCGUUGUCUUGCUGACUUUGUGUCCAUACGUAUAUGGUGUGACCAGCUCAGAUCCUCACUGAUGUUAAUUCCAAGGAAUCUGAAGCAGCUGACUCUCUCUACUGCUGUGCCUCCAAUACAGAUGGGUGUGUACUCUUCCUGCUGUCUCCUGUAUUCCACAAUCAACUCAUUGGUUUUGCUGACGUUGAGCAGCAGGUAGUGUCUUGCACAACUUCAAACAGCGCAUUGGUAGCGCAUUUGAUCACAGUCAGUGCCGCAUUUGAAGGAAUCUGCUUGCACACGAGACCGUAUGGAACAGUUUGCAGAUUUAUGGCAUGAAAAGGCAGAGAAAAGCUGUUGCUCUCAAACACUGUCCACUUAAUCAACAGAGUCAGGUAUGAAGGAACAGAUUAAAUAGACAGAAGGUUUGCAAAGUGAUUUCAUGCUCCUUUUAAAGAGUAUUUUAGUAUUUUUAAAAUACAGUAGGCCUACUUUAUUUUGAUACAUGGUGUGGCUACUGUAUUUUGUGGUUUAUUUUGAUAGACUUAAGAUCAGGGUUAAUGUAUUUCUGCCCAUCCCUGACCGAUACCAAUCUGAUACCAUCACUAGUAGAGACAAUAGAAAUCUACCCCAGUGAAAUUGCAUGAUAUUCUGUUGGAAUAUCAUGCCAUUGGAAACGAGGCAUUCAUGAAAUUAUACCCUUAUGUGGUCAUUAUUUCUGCAAUUAAGGUAGAUUGUCAAUUACCUGGGCAUUUCUUGCCACCAGCCAGCAAAAGUGAGAGGUAUUUAUCAGGAGAUGCCAUGACACAGAUUAUUACAUCACACCUGCCAACAUCUGCAAAAAAAAAGAAUACCCUUCAUAUAAUACAUCCAAUG